CCACUGCUCAGUUGAUAGAGCACAAGGCUCUUAACCUUGUGGAUGUGAGUUCGAGCCCUAUGGUGGG
Non-coding RNA from Triticum urartu, 67 nucleotides. The record is from Rfam. Lineage: Eukaryota; Viridiplantae; Streptophyta; Magnoliopsida; Poales; Poaceae.